UUGCGGUUAAAAAGCUCGUAGUUGGAUUUCUGUUGAGGAUGACCGGUCCGCUCUUUGAGCGCGUAUCUGGUUCAGCCUUGGCAUCCUCUUGGGGAACGCUACUGUGCUUGAUUGCAUGGGGCGGUAUUCAAGACUUUUACUUUGAGGAAAUUAGAGUGUUCACUGCAAGCGUUAGCAAUUGAAUACAUUAGCAUGGAAUAAUAAUAUAGGACCUUGGUACUAUUUUGUUGGUUUCUAGAACUAAGGUAAUGAUUAAUAGGGACAAUUGGGGGCAUUCGUAUUAACGCGUCAGAGGUGGAAUUCUUAGAUUGCGUUACGACGAACUACUGCGAAAGCAUUUGCCAAGGAUGUUUUCAUUGAUCAAGAACGAAAGUAUGGGGAUCGAAGACGCUUAGAUACCGUCGUAGUCUAUACCAUAAACUAUGCCAACUAGAGAUUGGAGGUCGUCUCUCUUUAUGACUCCUUCAGCACCUUAUGAGAAAUCAAAGUCUUUGGGUUCCCGGGGGGAGUAUGGUCGCAAGGCUGAAACUUAAAGGAAUUGACGGAAGGGCACCACCAGGAGUGGAGCCUGCGGCUUAAUUUGACUCAACUCGGGAAACUUACCAGGUCCAGAC
RNAcentral lists this ribosomal RNA (614 nucleotides) under uncultured marine eukaryote. RNAcentral describes it as "SSU rRNA". It matches the Rfam family "Eukaryotic small subunit ribosomal RNA", at positions 613 to 1229 of the family's 1831-position model. The record is from RNAcentral.